Molecule: long non-coding RNA, 1446 nt
Filed under: Macaca fascicularis (crab-eating macaque)
Lineage: Eukaryota; Metazoa; Chordata; Mammalia; Primates; Cercopithecidae
Description: lncRNA (ENSMFAG00000057779.1)
Source: RNAcentral
AUGGUCACGUUUCGGGAGCGGGGCCUCAGACCUGGCUCGCGGCGCCCGCGCCCGCUCGCUUCCGUCCCGCGGCGCCGGUCUCCGGCUCUCGGUCCGCCGCCUCCCGCCGCCCGCCGGCCGCGGGCGCACAGCGAGUCAGAGCGCGGCCGCGCGGGACUCCAUGCCGGCCGGCGCGCCGCCGCCGUUGGGGCGCAUGGCUCAGGCGGGGCGGCCCGCGGGGCGCACAUCCUUCGGCCGGGGCGCGGGGCUCGCGGCCCCCCUCCGCGGGCGGCACAGCGAAGGCGGCGGAGAGGCGGGCGUGUUCCGGCGCUGUCGCCGCGCAGUCAGGGGCCGGGGAGCUGCGGCUUCGCCCUCCGGGGCGGUGAAGAGGAGGCCGGCGGCGCUGCCGCUCACGGUGCGUGUCUCCCGGCGCGCGGCUCUUGCCUCCAGUCGGAGCUCCACGCCGAUGGGGCGGCGCUGAUUAGGGUUUGGGGCGACGCGACGCGGGCGGACGCGGGUCCCCCCGCGUUGCCGGGUCGGGGGCUCUGCCAGAGGCUCCGCCGCCGAUCGGCGCCACUGCUGCCCGGGGCUCCGUCUGAGCGCUCGCUCUGCAGACGGUCGCGGCCCGGAGGCUGGCAGGAGGCGGGCACGGGAGGCGCGCGGGGCGAGGGCGCCGUGGAGCGCGGGCGUGGGGACGCGCGGCGGCGGCGCCGCGCGGAGGAGGCGCGCGGGGAUCCCGGGGCCCCGCCGCCCGCGCCCACCGCGCCCGCCGCAGAGCCGCCCGCGCUGCUCGGCCGCCUCGCUCUUCGCGUCUGCCUCUCAGCGCGCUCGCCCCGCCUCCCGGAGCCGGUCCCAACUCCGCCCGCCCGGCCCGGCUCACGUCACCCGCCUUCCCCGCCCCUCGAACGGGAGCUCGAGUCCCCGACCCGGCCCCGGCUCAUGCUCGCCGUCCCACCUUGCGGGGCCGGGGUCGCCGCGGGGCGGGGGCGUCGGAGGGCUGUGCCCAGCGAGGGCGACAGCGCAGGCGGGGCUUCUUCAGCCCCCUUCCCCAUUCCCGGUUGCGUCCCGGUCCCCACCUUGCGAAAGGCUCGAGAGAGGCCGCAGGCUCCGAUUGGACCGCCGGGCGCCGCCGGAUGGUGUUGCCAGGGUAACCGGAUGGCAUGCGAAGCCGUUCGAGGUUCCGACCCGGUUACGGGGGCGCCCAGUGGACCCGGAGAGCUACUUUGGGGAGGGGGCGGCACCGAGGAAGAACUGGGUGGGGGCGCAUGGAGCAGGGGCUGUGCGAAAAGUUUCCUGGGGCGGAGCUGCGCCACGCGGGCCGCGCAGGAGCGUCUGUCCGAGGGUCCCCUGCGAGGGACUCCUCUGCUCGGCUGCGCGGGCUUCUGCGUUGAUGAAGUCACCGCGUUCCGGGUCGGAGCUUCAGCGCUUCUGCCCGGAACCCAGCGAAGCCCAGUCCUAUGCCCCUGA